This is a small nucleolar RNA of Diospyros lotus (date-plum), 107 nucleotides long. The record is from RefSeq and is a predicted model, not a curated record. NCBI's taxonomy places the organism in Eukaryota, Viridiplantae, Streptophyta, Magnoliopsida, Ericales, Ebenaceae.
AAACCAUGAUUUAGACAUUUCCUCAACAACUCCUUGAAUCGAUCCCAUGCCUCAUGAAAGUUCUCAGAUUCAGUUUGCUGGAAAGCUAAAAUUUCAUGCUUAAGCUU